Molecule: transfer RNA, 75 nt
Filed under: uncultured Alteromonadaceae bacterium
Lineage: Bacteria; Pseudomonadati; Pseudomonadota; Gammaproteobacteria; Alteromonadales; Alteromonadaceae
Description: tRNA-Ile
Source: RNAcentral
UUGUAGCUCAACUGGUUUAAAACGCACCCCUGAUAAGGGUGAAGUCGGGAAUUCAAGUCUGGCCAAGCCUACCAU